GACGAACGCUGGCGGCGUGCUUAACACAUGCAAGUCGAACGAAGAGCGAUGGAAGCUUGCUUCUAUCAAUCUUAGUGGCGCACGGGUGAGUAACGCGUAAUCAACCUGCCCUUCAGAGGGGGACAACAGUUGGAAACGACUGCUAAUACCGCAUACGAUCUAAUCUCGGCAUCGAGGAUAGAUGAAAGGUGGCCUCUACAUGUAAGCUAUCACUGAAGGAGGGGAUUGCGUCUGAUUAGCUAGUUGGAGGGGUAACGGCCCACCAAGGCGAUGAUCAGUAGCCGGUCUGAGAGGAUGAACGGCCACAUUGGGACUGAGACACGGCCCAGACUCCUACGGGAGGCAGCAGUGGGGAAUCUUCCGCAAUGGACGAAAGUCUGACGGAGCAACGCCGCGUGAGUGAUGACGGCCGUCGGGUUGUAAAGCUCUGUUAAUCGGGACGAAAGGCCUUCUUGCGAAUAGUGAGAAGGAUUGACGGUACCGGAAGAGAAAGCCACGGCUAACUACGUG
Molecule: ribosomal RNA, 510 nt
Filed under: uncultured bacterium
Lineage: Bacteria
Description: partial 16S ribosomal RNA
Rfam family: Bacterial small subunit ribosomal RNA
Source: RNAcentral